RNAcentral lists this long non-coding RNA (385 nucleotides) under Ictidomys tridecemlineatus (thirteen-lined ground squirrel). RNAcentral's name for it is "lncRNA (ENSSTOG00000034238.1)". The record is from RNAcentral. Lineage: Eukaryota; Metazoa; Chordata; Mammalia; Rodentia; Sciuridae.
UGUCUUUUGGGAGGCAGCAGGAGGGGGAUAACCAGGCAUUAAACUUAGGGGCACUCAACCACUGAGCCACAUCUCCAGCCCUAUUUUGUAUUUUAUUUAGAGACAGGAUCUCACCCAGUUGCUUUGCUCCUUGCUUUUGCUGAGGCUGGCUUUGAACUCGUGAUCCUCCUAUCUUAGCCUCCUGAGCCACUAGGAUUACAGGCGUGUGCCACUGAGACUGGCUAUAUGCAUCCUUAAAGCCAUGUCUUCAUGGAGGAAGGCAACCUUCUCCAGGUACCUUGUUGAUUGUGAAACUGGAGUCUCCGGGGUUUGUUUCAUAAACAUACCAGAGACUGUCUCAAGAGACCAAUGGACUAACAUUCUUGCCAUGGGCAGUUUAUGGUAG